This is a non-coding RNA of Solanum lycopersicum (tomato), 6574 nucleotides long. NCBI's taxonomy places the organism in Eukaryota, Viridiplantae, Streptophyta, Magnoliopsida, Solanales, Solanaceae. The record is from RefSeq and is a predicted model, not a curated record.
AGAAGAUCAAUUACUGGUUACAUAAUCAAGUAUGGAGAUUCUCCAAUAUCUUGGAAAUCCAAGAAGCAGUCUACUAUUUCUAGAAGCUCUGCUGAAGCAGAGUACAGGAGUCUGGCCUCCACUAUUGCAGAGAUUACUUGGAUCAUUGGUUUGUUCAAGACAUUGGAUGUACCAUUGGUGUUACCUGUUUCACUGCAUUGUGAUAGCAAAGCAGCUAUUCAGAUUGCUGCUAAUCCAGUGUUCCAUGAGAGAACCAAACAUAUUGAUAUUGAUUGUCAUUUUAUUAGAGAAAAGGUGUCAAAAGGUCUUGUUGUCUUACAAUACUUAUGCUCAUUUGAACAGCCAGCUGAUAUCCUAACUAAAGGACAAAGCAAACAUCAACAUUUUCAUCUUAUCUCCAAGCUAAGAAUGAAGAACAUCUUCAUAUCUUCUAGCUUGAAGGGGGCUAUUAGAGAUUGUAAAUAAUUAACUAGAUUAGUUGAUAGUUAGUUAAUAGUUAGUUGAUAGUUAGUUAGGAUAUAUUGAGAAGAUUCUAGAAGAUGGUUUUCUUGUAAAUAAGUCACUUAGUACAUGUGUAUAUAUAUGUAGAGAGUAAUGAUCAAUAAUAAAAUUGUGAUUGCUUCUUCCUCCAUAAUUCAAUUGUGCAAUCAGAUUCAGUUUCCAUCAGGAUAAUCAACUCAAUUUAAUUUAUUUCAGAAAAAGGCAAAUAGUUUAUCUAUUGACCAAUAUGCCCCUGAUUCCACUUCCCCAGAAUUUUGCCUUAUUUAACACACAGGUACUCUCUGAGAAGCAUCAAAUUCGAGCAUAGCCAAGAAUGGAAGAAGAAUGAGGCGACAGAGAAUUUGGGAUUUUCUCGAAACGGUGGUUGCCCAUCUCCAGUUUGCCAGUGAUUUCUCCGUUAAACAAAAAACCAACAACCCUUUCAAAUGAACCAGGAAAGCCCGCACAACUACUCUUGUUCCUCUUCCUCUUCUCUUUCACCGCUCUUUUUGCUGCUGAUGUUAUAAUGUGGCUAUGAUGAUUGAUUGCUUCCUCUCUGGGCUAUGUUCAAUCACGACAAUGAGAAAACUCCGACACGUAUCUUGGCAGGGCGACCCUGUUAAGGCUUUGAAUAGCAAACUGGUGUCUGCAGCCAUGGCGGUGUCGCUUUUCUCUUUUGCUUUGUUAAGAAAUACAGCAAAAUCUGAGCCCUUAAUAUCCCAUUUCUUGGUCUUGAAUGGUGAUUCCAUUCUCGGGUUGGAAAACCCAUUACGGGUUAAAGACGAAGAAUGAGGCAUCUGAGAAAUUGGGAUUUUCUGCGAAGGGUGGUUGCCCAUCUCUGUUUUGCCAGUGAUUUCGCCAUUCAUAACCAAAAAAAUAACCAACAGCCCUUUAAAAUAAACAAAAUAAAUAAAUAAAUAAUUGGAUGAACUUCGUCCGGACACCCCUACUUUUGUUGUUGUUGUUGUUGUUGAUGAUGUUUUAAAGGGGCUGUGAUGAUUGCUUGCUUCCUUUUUGAGCAUUUUUCAAUCACGACAUUGAGAAAAUCCGACCCGUAUCUUGGCAGGGCAACCUGGUUAAGGCUUUGAAUAGCAAACUAGUGUCUGCAGCCAUGGCGUUGUCGCUCUUCUCAAUCCUCUUCUCAAUCGCUUGAUUCAAAUACAGCAAAUCUGAGCCCUCAAUAAUUUGUUUCAUGGUUUUUGAAAGUGAGUCUUCUCAGUUCGGAAAACCUAUUAUGGGUCUGUGUUGAAAAUUCAGCUCUGAAGAAUGAGGCAUACAGCGGGAAAUUCGAAGACGAAAAAAACAAAUAAUUUCCCCAAACAUGGAAAAGGUUAGCCUAGAAGGAAAGAAAUGAGCCAAAUUUAUCUUAUUUUAUUCUAUACCAUACCUAUUUAAAGUAGCGUUUAUUCCCAAAUUUGAUGCCCUUUUCUAUAUCUUGAUAGUCCAAAAAUUCUGAGGCUAUGAAGAUUAUCCUAAAAAAGACAGGAAAACAUUUGAGUUAAUUCCAAGACGUGGCUUGGCAAAGAGAACUUGGAAGGUCUGUGAAGGAGGAUGAGAAAUAAUAAGUUUCUUGUUGUCCGUUAUUACGAGGCAACCAAUCUUUGCAGCCAUGCCUGUUUUAUCUCUGCUCUUUGAUUACAUAGGCAAAAAUCUGAGCCUCCUACCUCAAUUUAACAUAACGUUUCAUGAUUUGAUCACUGAAACAGUAUCUGUUAGGGGCUUUCUUGAAUUGAUCUAAAAAUUCAGUUACUGCUUUUAAAUCUUAAAAUUGAUUUUAUUUUUUCAAAAAUGUUGUGAGAUAAUUUGAUUUUCAUGAAAAGAGUGGCAAACAAUGUCAUGGUCUCGAGUCUUGAUGCCUUCAUGUCUCCACUAACUUAUUUCUGAAAUUUGGUGACUGGUCACAAGCAAGAGUCGAUGAUAGCUAACACAGGUGAUGGUAAAUGUUGAUAGGAAAGUAAAAACAUUCAUUUCUGAAAUUUGAUGACUGGUCCCAAACAAGAGUCGAUGGUAGCAAAACACAAGUGGCUAUGAAUGUUGAUAGGAAAGUAGAACUACUUUAAGUUUCAACUGACAAGUCUAUCUAAAGUUUGGUGAGUAAUAAACUUUGUAUGUUGAACUUUCUUUUUCAUUAUCAGUUAUCCUAAUGGUAAGUAAUAAUAACUUCUAUGCAUCAUGAGUAUAUCUCUUGCAAAGAAUCCCUCAAAUUGUCAAUGCAUGGUGAAUUCUGUAUUAGCGCUCUUUUGUAAGUCAGAAUGUCCUUGAGUCUCACUGGACUUUUACUUGACAUGCUCAAAGCCUCUUGUUGCAAGGUCUUUAGCAUCUUGAAGACAGUUACAGAACUUUUGCCUUACGAUUCCAAGAAUUCUGGGAGGUUAAUCUUUAUCUUGUACUUUCUUGUGGUUCCUUUAGAGACUCUUCACUAAAAAAUCACUGGACAUUUAGUUGGAACAGGUGUGAAAUUGGGAGGGACGGGUAUUAAGAAGUAGUAGUGAUUGAAUAGUUAUGUUGUGUAUAUGAGCAAGCAUUAUCCCUCUAUUGUAAUUUUUGCUUGCGUUUUCUGGAUACCUUUAAUGAUUUACCUUUACUUCAUAAAAAUAAGUAUUGUCAAGGUCAAAGCGAAAAUCUUCAAAAAACAUUCUUAUUUGUUCAUCUGAGUUGCUCAUCCUGAUGUUUUAGUUUUGGACGAGAUCAGCUGAAGACCAGCUGAGUGCAAACUACAUCUUCUUGGUGCAUGGACAAAAACAAAUUGGUUCAUUAUACUUAAUGAAUGGGGCUUUAAGACAGUUUCAUGAUGUUUAACCAUUUUCUUAAUCUUGUCCAAAUCUUGCAGACUCUACUGGAGAUAAAGAGAAGGAACACUUCCAUACCCGGGUCUGCCGUGGCUUUAAAAAGUAAACUCUAUGCAUGAAGUUGUCAUUUGCAUAAUCAUAUGCAUAGUACUUCAGGGCAUGGAGAACUCAUUAAAAAUGGUUUGUGAUUUCUACUUCACCUUUAUUUUUAUGUCUUAUCUUCAUUUUAACUUGCUAUUUUUUGAAAUUCUAUGUGUGUUGUUAAUGAGCAAUUGUUUGUAAUCAUCAAUUUAUAUGGGAAACUCUAGGUUGUCCUAUGGCUGUGAGUUAAAGAAAUGAAAUUGGCUCUUAAUGAGUAUAAAGUGAAAUAUUAUUGCUGCGUUUCUCACAAGGGGAAUCACAAUGGAUGCUGAAACAAAAGAAAAGAUAGAUGAAAAGACACAAGAUAAGUAACAAUUGGAAACUAAAGGAUGUAUUAAAUCCAAUAACCUCCAAUCUAGCUCCUAACAGGUACCAAAUAUGGAUAAAUAGAUAGACACAUGAAAAGAAAAUCAAAAGCAACCUAAAGGUAUAGUAAACCUAAAGACCUCAAUUGAUUAAUCCACAAUUGAUUAACACCCAACUCUUACAAAGAGCUCAAGGGAAUCGAUAUCCCAAGCAACCCUCGUUUUUGAACAAUGUUCGACAAAAGCUUACCAAGCUUUCUGCACUCACAUAAGGAGUUAAAUUUAUCAUUUAUCAAUAUUCAAAAUCAGUCUUCCUAAAAUGAACCCUAAGACACCUAUUUAUAGUGUUAGGACUUGGGACUUAUUACAUAAAUGGGCCCAAAAAUGACCCGAAAUGGGAGAUGCGCCCAAUGGACUUGGCGAGGAACUCUGCUCCUUGACUUGGCUGGGGAGCUACUUGAACUUUGGGCGGUCUGGGGACCAUCACUCAAUCCAUUUGGCGAUGCGCCAAUGGCCUCCAUCUCGCCGAAUGGUCAGCUUUCCCUUAUGUAGCUCCUUGGACCAGUUGGCGACCUUGGGACUCUUGCCAAAAGGGGUUUGGUGAGUCGCCGAAGUCGCUGUCCUCUCGCCGAAUGGAGCACAUCUUCAAUUCCUCUUCCUCACUUCAUUAGGCCUCCCACGUUCCAAGCUAUCAUCCAAGCAUGGUGUUUCCCAAUUGGGAGCUGCUUUAAGGUGCAUAUGUUCCCAUGCAAGGCAUGAAACUUCCCCCUCGUCAUCCAUACGUGUUCAACAGCCUCCAUCCUUGUGAACGAUCCAUCAAUACUUUGAAGUUCGUGAAUGAAUAGCCUUGAGGUAAUCUGUAUUACAAGGGGAAUCACAAUCGAUGCGGUAACAAAAGAAAAGAUAGAAGAAGAGACACAAGAUAAGAAAUAAUUGGCAACUAAAGGAUGUAUUUAAUCCAAUAACCUCCAAUCUGGAUUGAUGAUUACUAUAAACUGGCAUGUCAAUGUGGUACUAUGAACAUUGCUAUAGCUUGUUCAUUAGUCUUUUUCUCGAUACAUUCACUGCUGCCACUGACAUUUAUCAAAUUGGAUAUCUACUGCUUAAACCCCAUAAUUUAACAAAAAAAGAAAACUUAUUUGUUCGACCAUCUUUGUUAGCUGUUAUUUCUAUUUAAACUUGUGGUUUGACUCAAUACCAAGAAAAAGGAGCAUUAUUGGUUUCCUUAUUCGUUGGACCAAAUGACUCACAAAUUAAUGUGAACAAAGUUAGGAAGACUAGGAAGUUUUUUUUGUAACAUCUGUGAACAUUACCAUAAUGACAUUUAUAACAAACGAGAAUUACAACUUUGAUCACCUAACAGCACAACAUUCCUAGCAGUGUUAUCAAGGCGAAGAACACAAAAAAGCUCUAAGGUCUGUGAGGGCUUUAAGCGUAAAGCGCAAAUAAAGUGUGGGCUUUAAUGAAAAAAGGCGCAAAGGGAGAAAAGAUACAAAUAUUUAUGUUUAGUCUAAGACUAAUAAUUUAUAAACAUGAAUGACAAAAAUAUGACCAAAGAAAUUGAAAAAAAGUUGAUGAUAUAGUGAAAUAUCAAUUAUUCAGUGUCACUUCUUCGAGGCUUAUUGACAAGGAAAUGUUUGCCUUAGAACCUUGAUGACGACACUGAAGCGCACAUAAAGCAAAGCGCACAUAAAGCGAGGGGAAGCACUCAACCCGUUUCGAGCCUCGCUUCAGGGCUUAAGCGCGCCUUUGAUAACAUUGAUUCCUCGUCUAUUCUCUUCUCCUCACAACUAGUUACCAGUUAAAGUUUGAAUAGAACUCUUACAUUUAUACAGUUUUUUUGAUUCCCAAAUCUAGCUAUCCUGUCUAUGAAUUCCUUUUUGAUCUGUGUUAUAACUUGCUCCUUUUGUACAUUUACUGCUCUAUAUAUUUUCCAAUUCUUUGCUCUCCAAGUGUGAUAUACCAUAGCCCCCAUAGAGCAGCAAUUAUUUCUUUCUUUGCUUUACUUCAAUACUUUCUUUUGAUUUCCUGUAGUACCCGAUCAUUUCCAGUUGCUUCUAUCUGUAUGUGAGUCACUGCAUGAUUGCUUCAUUUACCUUCUGCGUCCAUACACAUGACCAAAUAAAUGGACUGUUGUCCCGACCUCAUGUGUGUCACAAAGACAACACUCUCCUUUUUCCACCUUAAUGUUCAUCUAUAUUAACUUUCUUUCGUAAGGAGUCUGCCCAGUGUAGCUAACCACAAUAUAAACUUGUGCCUUGGUUGUGCUAUUCUAUUCCAAAUCAAUGCAGCAUUUUCCAAAGAGUUCUCCAAAGCGUUUUAAUGCUUCAUUUCAUUCUUCAAUCCAUUUAGUUUCUUCCAGUACUAACUACUGUUUGGAGGAGCAAUAUGAGACCAAAUAUUAUCAUCUGAUUUCAUAUAGACGACGUGUACCCACUUGACCCACAAAGAUUCUUUAUGCUCGAUUAAUUGCCCUAACAGCUUUCCGACCGAAGCAACAUUCCAGUCAUGGCAACCUUUAAUGUGGAGCCCCCGUACUUCAUAGGUAUGCAGACCUUCUCCCACGAGACCAAGGCUAUUCGUCUUUUAUGUUUAGUGUGGAGACCAAGGCUAUUCGUCUUUUAUCUUUAGUACUUUCCCAUAAGUAGGUCCUACAAAUUUUAUCCACCUCUUUGACAACACUAUGGGGGUAGUAUAAAGACAGAUUCCCAGAAGUUAUGUAUCGAGAAUAUGACUGAUGUUAUCACUUGUAACCUUCCUGCGUAUGAUAACUUCUUCGAAUAAGUGACAGUUAUCCGCUGGGUUAUUUUGGCAAUCUGUUGAUGACAUUCCAUCUUCGACCACUUCUUGGAGGACAAA